UACAGAGGUCUCAAGCGUUGUUCGGAUUCAUUGGGCGUAAAGGGUGCGUAGGCGGCGCGGUAAGUCGGGUGUGAAAUCUCGGAGCUUAACUCCGAAACUGCAUUCGAUACUGCCGUGCUUGAGGACUGGAGAGGAGACUGGAAUUUACGGUGUAGCGGUGAAAUGCGUAGAUAUCGUAAGGAAGACCAGUGGCGAAGGCGGGUCUCUGGACAGUUCCUGACGCUGAGGCACGAAGGCCAGGGGAGCGAACAGG
RNAcentral lists this ribosomal RNA (253 nucleotides) under uncultured bacterium. RNAcentral describes it as "partial 16S ribosomal RNA". It matches the Rfam family "Bacterial small subunit ribosomal RNA", at positions 524 to 776 of the family's 1533-position model. The record is from RNAcentral.